RNAcentral lists this ribosomal RNA (102 nucleotides) under Pteropus alecto (black flying fox). The record is from RNAcentral. Lineage: Eukaryota; Metazoa; Chordata; Mammalia; Chiroptera; Pteropodidae.
GCCUACAGCCAUGCCACCCUGAACAAGCCCGAUGUCUGAUCUCGGAAGCUAGGCAGGGUCGAGGCUGGUUAGACCACCUAGGACAACGAGGUGCUGUAGGCA